Small nuclear RNA from Suncus etruscus (white-toothed pygmy shrew), 110 nucleotides. The record is from RefSeq and is a predicted model, not a curated record. Lineage: Eukaryota; Metazoa; Chordata; Mammalia; Eulipotyphla; Soricidae.
GUGCUCGCUUCAGCAGCACAUAUAUUAAAAUUGGAAUGAUACAGAGAAGAUUAACAUGGCCCCUAAAAAAAGAGAGAGAUUUAUUUUUGCAGGAGAUAUAAGCAUAUGUA